Panicum virgatum (switchgrass) is the source of this 2564-nucleotide long non-coding RNA. RefSeq lists it as uncharacterized. The record is from RefSeq and is a predicted model, not a curated record. NCBI's taxonomy places the organism in Eukaryota, Viridiplantae, Streptophyta, Magnoliopsida, Poales, Poaceae. The transcript has 4 exons.
UUUGCGAGUCGCGUCCAGUCGGUGCUCGGUGCUCGACGGGACGGUGGCUCUCCGCUCGGAUGCUCCCCCACUCUGGUGAUCGGCAACCGGAGACCUGACGGCCUCGCGACCUCAUGUCCUCGCCCACAUGGGCCAUGGCUUGCGUCCUCUCCUGCUAGCGCGAGUUGCGAAGAAUAGAAGGUGCCUACCACCAGCCCACCGGGCACCGGCGGCCAAGACAACGACGUCCAAGGCCCUCCUCUGACCGGUGGCCCUCUCGGACCACUGUUCUGUAAUAUUGUUUAAUUAUUCAUGUUUAGAACUUAAAUUAGGGUGUUACAAACCUACCCACUUACAUGAAUCUCGUCCCGAGAUUCAGACGGGCUGGCUAGUAAAGAGAUCAGGAUAUGUCUUUCUCAGCUCAUCUUCUCGCUCCCAGGUAUUUGCUUUGAAACUUGGCAUACCCAACCGCAAAUUCCUGGCUCCGCAACUGCCUGAGGAGAGCUCCCAGUGCGCCUCCCUCCCCGCCCGCCUCUGCGCCUCCAGUCCCGGCCGCCGCCCGCGCCCCCGAGGCCAGCAACUGCCUGAGCCAAUGCCGCGGCCCCUGCUCCUCGCUCCCUGGCCGCUGCCCACGGCCCCUGGUGACCGUCCUUCCCGGCAGGUUGGACAUGAGGUAUGCCUUCUCGUUAUCUCCUUCGCAAGGGAACCUGGUUUGUGAUUCCGAUGGAACCUCUGCCUCUCCUCUCCUAACUCCACGCCCUCAGCUUGUGGACGUAUGAAACAUUACUGCUGCAAAUAGGCUGUACAAAUAUUCUGUCACCACAAUCUAUGAGCAGUUGAUUAACAAUGAAUGUCACACUCAAUCAAUGGCCGUGCAAGAUAUCCUGAUUGGGUGUGCACCGAAUUGCUACAUUAGACUCGUAUCAGGCUUACAUUUUGCAACAUCACUCUUGCAUGCCCUAAACUCAGUUGAGAUUGCAAAUUUCCUUGACAAUAACACAAUUCAUCAUCUCAUGCAAUUUGGUGUCUUGUGUAAUUUGAUGUGUCGUGGGUCUGGUAGCAGAAAUUUCUCGAGCAAUUCCUAGGGUUCAGAUGCUGUUUCAUUUACAACAUUUACUAUUUGAAAUUGGUAUUUAAUCUCCAAGAUUGAUAGGCAUAUGUGAUUGUUGCUAUUUGAAAAUUGUUACUAAAUCUGCAUGAUUGAUCUGUAUACGUGAUUGAAUGGAUAAUAUGUUCAAGGAAUUUACUUGAGGUUGUAAAUGAUUUGUCAUUAUUAGUUCUAAAAUGUUAACUCUACAGAACCUUUUUUUGAUCAGCCAUCAGAUCUUAGUUGUAGUCUUGUGCCAUAGCUCAGAAACUUAGUAUCAAGUAUAAUGUGAUGGUUGAUGCUGGCAACACCACAGGCAGCCUACAGUCUGUGAUGCUGGCAACACCACAGGAUCUAGGAUUAUAGGGUUUAAUUUUUGGUCCUUAUCGAACACCACUAAUAAUAGCAGACUGAAAAUCUGAAUCAAUUUAAAUCCGCAAGGCCAGAAUGUUUAAUUCGAUAAAAAAAAAUAACAUCCAUAGUCUCUUGCAUACACUAUUUUCGAUUGUCCCACUCGUCAUCCUCUUUUGCGUGCCAUCUUGCAACUCCACGAAUUCUUGCUUCUUAUCCUCAUCUGUGUCUUUGUAGUCUCCACACACUGAAGUUUGGGUAUUUUAAUAUCUAAAGCACUACUAUGUUUUUGACCUCACUACUGUGUUUCAAUCUGCGAAAGAUACCAAUGCACAGCUACACUAAUUUCCAUCUCGGAUAAUCAACACUGGUGCUAUCGAGCUUGCAGAGUUUGUAACUCGAAAAUGAUUCCAGGCCCAGAUGGAUACCAGUGCACAAAAGUUAGUGGUUGCCCAUGCACGCAAUUUGAUUGGAAGUAAGAUUACUCCAAGUAAAUUAUGUUUGUUUGUACAUAGGCCAUCUUAGAUUUAAUAUUAUGAGCACCUUCCAAGAGAAAAAGUACUGAGGUAUGAUACUAGAACUUCCACAGUUUACUGAUUACUGGAACUUCCAGUUUACCCUUCACUGUAUUUUCUAUCACUCAUGGUAAUAUUGUUGCAGGCUACAUCAUCACAAUCCGCACAGUACGCAGGCAUAAAAGACAUGGACAUAGAUCAACAAUUUAAUAAUUGGUUGGGAUCAUACUAAGAACCAUAACAACACUGAUGACGAGAACAUAAGACGGAAACAAAGAAACUGAAGCUUCAAGAAUAAGACAAGCGCAAAUGGUUCUGGGGGAAGCAUUUUAGUCAGCAAAGACACUUGUUCUGGGAACAAUAUUUUGGACUGCAAAGCCACGUGGGAGCUAGCUAUGAUUUAGACUACCAAUGUUAUAACUACAAGCACCAUUCUGGUAGCCUCAUAGUUAUAGACUCUCAAAAUGGUGAUCUUUUGCUUAGGUGUUCUAAACUGAAAACCUCACUGUACUCCUUGCUAAUGGUUGUUCCUGUCAUCUACCAUUGUCUGCUGCUAGCUGUUGGCAAAUGCAGCCACAUGAACAGUGUAGCGACUGUGUAGUUUAUAAUUCUUAGUAUUUUGUGUUUGCAAA